This is a long non-coding RNA of Drosophila pseudoobscura, 358 nucleotides long. RefSeq lists it as uncharacterized. The transcript has 2 exons. The record is from RefSeq and is a predicted model, not a curated record. Lineage: Eukaryota; Metazoa; Arthropoda; Insecta; Diptera; Drosophilidae.
CCGGAACAACUCUCAUUCGCCAUCAGUCAGCCCCACAGUCAAGACAUGCGACCGGCCACAAUAUUAAUGGGUACGCUUCUCUUUUUGGUGCCUGGCGUUCCCGCGGAAAGCCAUACUGGCGCGCUUAGAUUGGCCUACAAUCCCAGCAAUGGCAGUUGGUUUUUCCUGCCCCACGGAAGACCCCAAAAUGUUGGCAUAAACGUACAGAAGGCCUACUUUGCGCAUCAAAGUUUGGGCGGUUUUUCGGGAGUUUGCUUUUCAAAUAAUAUUUGGUUCAAUUGUCGGACAGGUUUAAUGAUAUGGGAGAACAAAUGAUGAACAAAUACAAUUCGCAAAGUUCAUUCAGGCACUUAUUGCA